ACGUAGGGGAUGCCAAGUGAGAACAAAAAACAGAGCUACUCUGCUCCAUGAAUUCUAAUGGCAGCUCCCAAUUCAGCAUAGCAAAAUUUGUUAGGCAUUGCAAGAUAAACCGAACCCCCUACAUAACUGAAGAUGCAGCAGUUGUGUCAUCUUCACUGGGCACCAGGCGUCGCACUGAUGAUGUCUGACACCUGAAACAUUAUGAAGUAAUCAUUCAGUACAUAUUACUAGGGGGCGAAUGAAAAGGAAAAAAACAGGAGCAAUUUAUAUAGCAACGGACCAGGAUCAGUGAUGCUGACACAGCACACCCUGUUGUACUUUCG
RNAcentral lists this long non-coding RNA (323 nucleotides) under Triticum aestivum (bread wheat). RNAcentral's name for it is "long non-coding RNA (TAES_LNC021446)". Lineage: Eukaryota; Viridiplantae; Streptophyta; Magnoliopsida; Poales; Poaceae. The record is from RNAcentral.